RNAcentral lists this ribosomal RNA (454 nucleotides) under uncultured bacterium. RNAcentral describes it as "partial 16S ribosomal RNA". It matches the Rfam family "Bacterial small subunit ribosomal RNA", at positions 29 to 523 of the family's 1533-position model. The record is from RNAcentral.
AACGAACGCUGGCGGCAGGCUUAACACAUGCAAGUCGAACGCAUCCUUCGGGGUGAGUGGCAGACGGGUGAGUAACGCGUGGGAACGUGCCCUUCAGUUCGGGAUAACCCAGGGAAACUUGGGCUAAUACCGGAUACGUGCGAGAGCAGAAAGAUUUAUCGCUGAAGGAUCGGCUCGCGGCUGAUUAGCUAGUUGGUAGGGUAAAGGCCUACCAAGGCGACGAUCAGUAGCUGGUCUGAGAGGACGAUCAGCCACACUGGAACUGAGACACGGUCCAGACUCCUACGGGAGGCAGCAGUGAGGAAUUUUCUGCAAUGGGCGAAAGCCUGACAGAGCAAUACCGCGUGAGGGACGAAGACUUACUGAGUUGUAAACCUCGGUGCCUUAAGGAAGAAGAUCUGACGGUACUUAAGGUGGAAAGCAUCGGCUAACUCCGUGCCAGCAGCCGCCGUAA